UACGGGGGGGGCAAGCGUUGUUCGGAAUUACUGGGCGUAAAGGGCUCGUAGGCGGCCAACUAAGUCAGACGUGAAAUCCCUCGGCUUAACCGGGGAACUGCAUCUGAUACUGGAUGGCUUGAGAUUGGGAGAGGGAUGCGGAAUUCCAGGUGUAGCGGUGAAAUGCGUAGAUAUCUGGAGGAACACCGGUGGCGAAGGCAGGUCUCUGGGCCAUAACUGACGCUGAGAAGCGAAAGCAUGGGGAGCGAACAGG
Molecule: ribosomal RNA, 253 nt
Filed under: uncultured bacterium
Lineage: Bacteria
Description: partial 16S ribosomal RNA
Rfam family: Bacterial small subunit ribosomal RNA
Source: RNAcentral